This 1275-nucleotide ribosomal RNA is filed under the name Triticum aestivum (bread wheat). RNAcentral describes it as "partial small subunit ribosomal RNA". The record is from RNAcentral. Lineage: Eukaryota; Viridiplantae; Streptophyta; Magnoliopsida; Poales; Poaceae.
AAAGCGACCACCGCCCCCCCACGUACGCCCAACGGAGGCGGAGGCCGAGGCCACGAACCACAAAACCAGGCCAUCGCCCCCAACAACAAACGUGCGAAGCUACCAGAAAACAGAAGCAAGGACAAGCAAGUGGGCAUUUGUUCCUCGUCGCCUCCGCUUUCCCAACCCCCACUGCCCCCCAGCCAAAUCCGCCGCCCGAUUCCGCUGCCGCGCCGCCGAUCCCUCCCCCGUCCAUGGCGAUCGGGCCCGGCAGCCGGCUCCCCGACCUCCCAUUCUCCCGAUUCGGAAUUUGAUAAGGUUUAGCGGCCUCUCCGCCUCCCCGCAGCUCGAUUGCUGAUUUGGUCGGGGGAAGGGAAUCUUCUGCGGCUGCUGCUUCUGCUGAAUUGCUCUCCGGGAGGCGAGGGGAGGGGGGGAUGGGGAUGCUGUUCGUGGAGUACCUCCCGGGGCCCAAGGUGUUCAAGUGCAAGUUCUGCAGGGUUGACUCGGCGUCGCCGGACGACAUCGUGUCCAAGGAGUUCCGUGGCCGCCACGGCCGCGCCUACCUCUUCGAUAGCGUGGUGAAUGUGAGCCUUGGUCCCAAUGAGGAUCGCCAUCUUUUGACUGGAUUGCAUACAGUGAACGAUAUCUACUGUAGCUGCUGCCAACGACUCCUUGGCUGGAAAUAUGCGAAAGCCUACAACGAAGACCAGAAGUACAAAGAAGGAAAGUUCAUACUAGAGAAGAACAUGAUGCUGAAAGAAGGACGUUAGCUGGCGGGAACUGAUGAUCUGCUGUCAAAGUCUGCACAAGCAGACAUUCGCAACUUGCGAAGUGUAGCUAAAGAUUCGUUGAUACUGAUUUCCUGAACAUUUAUUACUCUGGUGACGGCCAUCACCACGAAAAUGCAUUUGUGAAAUCUGUUGCCCCCUGUUACAUUUGCUCGGCUGGCCUCUGAAAUUGAAUUGUUACCAGCUUUUCUUGACUCAACCGUCGAGGUUCACAGAUCGGGUUUCUGAAGCUGGGUGCUGAUGUAGGCCUAGUACUCUUUACUUACCUCAUCUGGAAUCUAUCUGUCAGCGAACCGAGCGAGCGCCAAGACCCAACUCAACCCUCAGGCCGGCCUAGAAGACAGCCUCGCCCACCGGCUCGGCUUGCCGGCCCAGAAUGGGCCCGUUAAAGAGUUGUACUUAUAUCUGUAACGAUAAGAUUCGAGUGGCGGCUGGCAAAUGGCUAGGUAGCGUGUGCGUGAUAGCUUGUAAGUGGGGUCUCCUUCCUCCUCUCUCCGAAUAUUCUCCU